GACGUAGGUGGCAAGCGUUAUCCGGAAUUACUGGGCGUAAAGGGUGUGCAGGCGGGGUUUCAAGUGGGGGAUGAAAUAUCCCAGCUUAACUGGGAGGGGUUAUGCCAGACUGCAACUCUAGAGGACGAGAGAGGGGGGUGGAAUUCCGGGUGUAGUGGUGAAAUGCGUAGAGAUCCGGAGGAACCCCAGAGGCGAAGGCGGCCCCCUGGCUCGUACCUGACGCUCAGCCACGAAAGCAUGGGGAGCGAACGGG
This 253-nucleotide ribosomal RNA is filed under the name uncultured bacterium. Its description in RNAcentral is "partial 16S ribosomal RNA". It matches the Rfam family "Bacterial small subunit ribosomal RNA", at positions 524 to 776 of the family's 1533-position model. The record is from RNAcentral.